Non-coding RNA from Bemisia tabaci, 742 nucleotides. The record is from RefSeq and is a predicted model, not a curated record. NCBI's taxonomy places the organism in Eukaryota, Metazoa, Arthropoda, Insecta, Hemiptera, Aleyrodidae.
AUGACAACGGCUUUGUCAGCUUAUGAACUUUAUAUGAAGGGAAAAGAAUCAAAAAUGUUUAAUUCCAUGGCACCAUUUCAAAAUUGCAUCCGACAACUAACGAGUAUUUUUCAUUUAGUAUAAGAUUUUUUACGCUUCAGUGAUACGAAGUGAUCACGCUUUAAAAUCGGAUAGGUUUUGAACGAUAGUGGAGAGUGAUGAGGCGUGAACCGUUUUUAAAUGCCAAGAACAUGAUGCAUUGACGAUGAAGGCAAACAACCGAAAUAUUAUAAUUUUAAAAUUGCUAAGUACCCAUUUUCUUCACUAUGCCUCUCUGUGAAAUCAGCAUUAAAGCCGUUUAUUAAGAAAAAAGUUUGUUUAAUUUUUACAAUUAUGCCUGUCAGUGAAAUGUAAAUAGCUCCGAAAACUCUUUUUUGAGUCUUGAAAUGUCUGCGAGCAACCUGAAGUUUGACUGAUUUGAUAAAAAAUUUGGUUGAUCAAUAUUAUCGUUUUCAUUAUUCUAAUCGAAGUAAAUUUAACCAUAGGUAAUUAAAAAUACGGAAAUCUUAAACUGUGUGGGUUUCAACAAAUUAGAUAGUUAUUUUACCGUUUUAAGCCUUUCACAUAUGGAGAGGCUGAUAUUGAUAGGGGGUCAAUUUAUCAAUUUUUUCUCAGUGGUUGUGGCGAAGAUGGGCGCAAAAUUGUCAAAAGGAUCCGUAUAUAGAAACGAAAAACCAAUAAUAAAUCAUACAUUGUCUUUUCA